ACUUUGAUCUUCAUUACUUUGCUUAAAUCUGACACAAUCCUAUGAGGUAGAAAGGACUUGAUAUUAUCAUCCCUAAAUAAAGAGAUUAAAGAUUAGAGAGUGGUUAGUCCAGGGUUAUGCAAAUAGUCUACUGCAAAGCCUGGGUGGUCUCUGGCAGGCAACAGUAAAGCCAUAUGCACAUGAAACAGGUGUAUGAAGAGGUGGGUGAGACUGAGACUGAGAGGGUGGAUGGUGCAGUGUUUCAGGCCAGUAAUGCCAGCGCUUUGGGAGGCUGAGGCAGAAGGAUUGCUUUAGCUCAGGAGUUUGAGACCAGCCUAGACAACAUAGCAAGACCUUGUCUCAAAAACUCAAAAACUUAGCCAGUCAUUGUGUUGCACAGCUGCAAUCCCAGGUACUCAGGAGGCUGAGGCAGGAGAAUCACUUGAGCCCAGGAGGUCAAGGCUGCAGUGAGCCAUAAUUGCGCCACUGUACUCCAGCUUGGGUGACAGAAUGAAAAAAAAUAAAAAAAAAACCCACCUAAAACUAUAAAACUUUUAGAAGACAACACAAGAGAAAAACUUUUGUGGCUGGGAGUGGUGGCUCACACCUGUAAUCCCAGCACUUUGGGAGGCAAAGGGAAGCAGAUCACUUGAGGUCAGGAGUUCAAGACCAGCCUGGCCAACAUAGUGAAACCCGUUUCUACUAAACAUACAAAAAUUAGUAGUGGUGGUGGGUGCCUGUAAUCCCAGCUACUCAGGAGGCUGAGGCAGCAGAAUUGCUUGAACCUAGGAGGUGGAGGUUUCAGUGACCCGAGAUCAUGCCACCGCACUCUAGCUGGGGCAACAGAGCGAGAUUCCGUCAAAAACACACACACAUACACACACACACACACACACACACACACACACACACAAAAAAAAAAAAAAAAAAAAAAACACUGGCUGGGCAUGGUGGCUCACGCCUGUAAUCCCAGCACUUUGGGAGACCUAGGUGAACAGAUCAUGAGGUCAGGAGUUCGAGACCCGCCUAACCAACAUGGUGAAACCCUGUCUCUACUAAAAAUACAAAAAUUAGCCGGCUGUGGUGGCAUGCACCUGUAGUCCCAGCUACUCAGGAGGCUGAGGCAGCAGAAUUGCUUGAACCUAGGAGGUGGAGGUUUCAGUGACCCGAGAUCAUGCCACCGCACUCUAGCUGGGGCAACAGAGCGAGAUUCCGUCAAAAACACACACACAUACACACACAAAAAAAAAACAAAAAAAAUAAAAAAAAUAAAACACUGGCUGGGCGUGGUGGCUCACACCUGUAAUCCCAGCACUUUGGGAGACCCAGGUGAACAGAUCACGAGGUCAGGAGUUCGAGACCCGCCUAACCAACAUGGUGAAACCCUGUCUCUACUAAAAAUACAAAAAUUAGCAGGCUGUGGUGGCAUGCACCUGUAAUCCCAGCUACUCAGGAGUCUGAGGCAGAACAAUCGCUUGAACCUGGGAGGUGGAGGCUGCAGUGAGCCGUGAUUGCACCACUGCACUCCAGCCUGGGCAACAGAGCGAGAAUCCAUCUCAAAAAAAAAAAAAAAAAAAGUGACAUUAGAUUAUGCGAAGAUUUAUUAGCUAUGGCACCAAAGCAAAAUUGAUAAGUCAGACUUCAUCAAAAUUUAAAACAAGAGCUUUCUAAAAACAGUGUCGUUUAAGAAAAGAAAGACAAGCCAUGGAAUAAGAGAAAAUACUUGCAGAGUAUAAAUCUGAAAGUGACUUGUACCCAGAAUACGUAAAGAACUCUCAAAACUCAGUAAAGAAGGCCAGGUAUGGUAGUUCAUAUCUGUAAUCCCAGCACUUUGGGAGGCUGAGGCAGGAGGAUCACUUGAGGCCAGGAGUUCAAAACCAGCCUGGGCAAUAUGGCAAGACCCCAUCUCUCUUAACGAAAAAAAAAAAAAAACUCAAUAAGAAAACAAACAACCCUCCUCCAAAACAAUGAGCGAAACUUUGAUAUACAAAACAUGGAUGAAUCACAAAAUUGUGCUGAGUGAAAAAAAGCCAAACAAAAAGAAAAGGAGUACAUACAAUAUGAUUCCACUUAUAUAAAAUUCUAUAAAACACAAAGUAAUCUCUAGUGAGAAGAAGGCAGGUCAGUGGUUCCCUGGAGUAGGAGGGAGGAUUACAAGGGAGCAUGAGGAAACUUUAGGAGGCGAUGAAUGUUCACCAUCUUGAUUUUGGUGAUGGUUUCAGAGGUGGAUACAUAUCUCAAAUUUAUCAAAUUAAACACUUUAAAUGUGUGUAGUUUAUUUUAUGCCCUUUAUACCUCAAUAAAGCUGUUUUUUAAAAAUAAAAUUAUAUUAACAGAUGUCAUUGACUGAGUGCUUGUCAUGCUUGAUUGUUUCUUUUUGGUUAUAUUAUCAUUGCACAUUUCUUAUUUUAUUCAGGGUAGGCAUGCAGUCAACUAAAAGGAUCACAUAUCUCAACCUCCUUAGCAGGUAGAUGUAGACCUAGACUAAGUUCUGGCCAAAGAGAUGUAAGCAGAAGUGUCAUGUGGUGUUUCUGGAAAGUCUUCCUUAACAGGAAUAAGGCAUGCCCUUCAUCUCUUCUUCCUUCUGUAUAGAAUGAAGAUCUGCUGACUGUGAUUCCAGCAGCCUUUUCAGACCAUAAAGUGACUUUGAAAGCAUCAACCAAGUGCUGAUGAUAGGAACGGGAGCCUGAGUCCCUUACGAUAUGAUGAAACCACCAUAUUAGCUCCAGACUUCCACACCCUAGACUUCUGUGAGAAAAGUCAACUUCUACCUUGCCUAAGCCAGUUGUUUUGGUUCUUUGUUUUUCUAUUAUGUGCCAUUGAACCUAGUCCUCACUGAAAGAGCCUCCCUCAGUGAUGUUCAGUAUGGUGGGGCUAACUCUCUGGUAGUGGGGUACUUAGGUCUUAUGACAAGUUGACACCUUGAGUGAACAUUGUCUUCAUGCUUCCUGCUAGCUCACAGACAUUGCCCCAAGCCUGGCUGACACAGGCUUUGAUUCCCUGAAUCCACUUUGCUGUUUUCAUCUGCUCUAAUCUGCUUUCUGGCUUUGUGUGGACAUCUUAUUUUCCUUACAAAUACAUUGGUCAGGGCUGAACUCGAUCAAUUCUUAAUACCACUUUGGCCCAGUUGCACUUUGUACUGAAAAUAAGUAACACAGUAUAUGUUUGUGUUAUAGUUUUUUUUUUUGCUUCCAAUUCAUGUUAUAUCGAUUAUUUCACAUGGUCUUCUAAACCACUAAAUUGAGGAGGGCAGAGAUGACACUCUCAUCUCUCAGAUGAAGAGGACUGACAGAAGCGAGCAAUCUACAAAUGUCCCCAGGAAAGAGUGGGGCGUUGAGAGUACAGCGAGGGCCCCGACUCUGUGCCUGUCCUGUGCUGCAGAACAGCUCUCCCUCAGUCACUCACUCCUUUAUUCCCAUUUGUUUUUCAAAUGCUUGCCAAGCACCUGCUCUGCAGCAGGAACCUGCCAUCCCACGUGUUGGGGACACUAAGAGGAGCCAGACAUGCUCCGGGCUCUCAAGGAGCCACCAGUGCAGAAGAGGCCACUCACCAUACACACCCACAGUGCCAUGGACAAGCAAGCUGUCAGGGUGGCGUCUCGGGGUAGAUGAUGGAGGUGCAAGGAAAAGGACAAUUCCCUGGUGUCUUCCCUUAUCUGUUUUUAGGUAAGAACUAGAGCAUUCUACUAUUUCCUCCUCUUUUCCUUUGAUUACCAGUCAUUUCCACCUUCCAUUCAUUCCAGUCAUCUCCUCUUAACCUCUGUGGAAUAAAUGGACUUUAAUGUGUUCCCAUCUAUUCAAUAUCAUUGCAAAUAUUUUGCCAGUUUAUCAUAUUUCUUUUUGGCAACUUACUGUUUACUUCUCUCCACCCUGGAUUUCUUUGAGAGAGAUUCACUUUCUCUUCAUCCAUUCCUUAAAACAUUUACUCUUCCUGCUAUGAGGUGACCCCAUCUCCCAUCAGUAUAUCCUCUGAAGCCUUCAUGUUCCAGGCCUUCCUCUCCUUGGCUCUGGUUAGCUGUCCUCCUGGCAUCACUCAUCACUGGGCUUUCAGAGGCAGAACCCCCAAAGCCUGAGUUUCUCCUGCCUUCCAUCAGACUUAGGGCUAGGAAAACAUAACCUUUACCAAAAGGCAGUGUGAUGGUAGAACAUCCACUAGACCAGGGCCUAACCAAAGCCUUGCUCUCUAACUAGCUAACCAUGACCUUGGACAAAUCACCUUCUUUCUCUGAACCCCAAUUUCCCCUUAGGUAAAACAAUAGGAUUCAACUGCAGCCUUGCCCAGCCCUGACAUGAUAUAAUUCUAACUAUAUUGACCGGUGCUGCCCAGUGACAUGGCCACUAGGCAUGUGGCCAUUGAGCCCCUUGACAUGUGGUUAGUCCAAAUUGAGAUGUGCCAUGAAUGCAAAAUAGACACACCAAAGACUCUGUACAAAAAAAGCAUGCAAAAAUCUCAUGAAUAAUUUUAUAUUAAUUACAUAUUAAAAUAAUAUUUUGGAUAGUUUAUAUGAAUAAAAUAUAAUGCAAAAAUAAAUUUCACCUGUUUUGAGUUUUUUGUUUUGUUUUUGUGUGUGUGUGACAGGGUCUCACUCUGUCACCAAGGCAGGAAUGCAGUGGUGUGAUCACAGCUCCUGCAGUCUCAAACUCUCAAGCUCAAGUGAUCGUCCCACAUCAGCCACCCAAGUAGGACUCUAGGUACGCACCACGAUGCCAGGAGUCUUACUAUGUUGCCCAAGCUGGUCUCAAACUCCUGGCCUCAAACCAUCCUCCCACCUUGACCUCCCAAAGCACUGAUUACAGGCACGAGCCACUGCACCCAGUCCUGCCUUUUACUCUUUUAAAAGUGGUUCCAAGAAUGUUUUAAAAUUGUUUCUACUGGCCAGAGCCAGUACAAUUAUCUCACAAGAAGCCUAGCACCACUGACUGAGGCUCAGCUCAUUCCACACACAGGGUAAAGAGGAAAAUCUUCGGUCUAACUUAGUCUCCAGGUGACUAGGAUGAUUUGGAUCUGGACAGGGGUUCAUAACCUGAGGAUAAAGCACUGAGCAGAAUUCAGGUAAUCCAUGAACUUGAAAAAUGACAUCUAUCUUUUCACUAUCCUCUAACUGAAAGUUAGCAAUUGCUUCCAUUAUGAAGGCAAUUUGUAGGCAUCAUAGAAAUAUUGGCUGUAUUUGUUUGUCAGCAACAGAAAUCAGUUAUUUUCAUAACACAUUAUUGUUGUUACAGAAUUGCAAAAUAUCACUCAGGUGCAUCACUACCACACAAUUUUGGUAGAUAUUAGACCUGCUGCUGGAUCUUGUUAUUUGACGUGUUACUAAAGCAACACAUACCUUACCAUAUCCCAGAUUUGUCUUUAUGUUUUGGUAACUGUACUGCAAUUUAUUUCCUUUGAUAUUUGUGGGGUGUUAUUUCAUGUAUGUAAAAACAUUCUGAGAAGGGGUCCUUCUGUAGCCUGCUAGAGGGGUUCAUGGCACUCCCCCACAAAAUAUAUGUAUAUAAACCCCAACUGACAAAGAUGGGGUAUUUUCAUCAGCCAGGGUACUGGAACACCCUGAAUAGAGGCGGACACUAGGCCUAAAGGGGUUCCAGGCACGAGGUAGACUGUCUCACUAAAGAUGCCAAGUGUCCCUCAGCUUGUCUGACCCCCUAGGCAGCCCCUUUAGCUGAAGAAUCAGAGGACACAAUAUUAGACCCUUUCGUUUUGAUGCCAGGACUUUUUGAUUUUCACUAUUUUGAAGAAAUGGUGAAACACACACCAUUAAAUUGUAGGAUCCCUUUAAAAUUACUAAAUAAUAUGUGCAACAGAUAUCCUUCCUUACGCCAUCCCCGAACCAAACUUCCAUAUCACAACCUCACCCCAAAGUGGGCAUCGGGAUUGGCAAAGGGCCCAGAAAUGGGUGUGUCUCAGCCUGCGAGGCACAGAGCUCCAGGGGUAGGCCAAGCUCUAAAACCCAUUUGAUGUCUGAUCAAAAUAUCCUGCUUUGGUUUUACUAAACCCUUCUCUGCAACAGCUGAGUUUAGCCUAGGGGCAGGGCUCUAGCAGUGGCUGCUGAGAAGUCUAGUUUAGGUAUUCUUUCCCAAGCCAGCCAGCCACUCCCAGAUCUCUGGACAACACAGCCUCACCCACAACCCAAGCACCAGGGAUAGACUAGAAGCACAAAAUCAGCCACCACUCACUGGGCAGCUCUUGUGCCAACACUGUCCUGCCACUCUACCUGUAAAGUCUCAUUCAAUACUCUAGGCAAAACAAGGAGGUUAGCCCUGGGUUAUGGAUGUAGACACUGAAGCCAAACAGCUUCCCCAAGACCAGCUAUUAAGUGAGGGAGCCAAGUUUUUAAUCCAGGUCUGUUUAACUCCAGAGAUAUUUCCCCAAACAAGCCACCUCCCCACUUGGUUGAGGCCAGCCAACACUGAGGUCCUUGAGGAGAAGGUGGAGUCCCUUUUACAGAACUCAGCGGAUAUCAACUAACCAAACAUAACUUGUAAACAGUGUUCAGUUCUCUGUAAAGCCCUAAUCCAAUCCACUGCAGACCUACAGCCCAACAAUGGGCUCUUGACCUGGUCACUUUGCUUCUGGGUCUAUUUCGUCAUCUGUGAAGUGAGAAGCCUGGGUUUAAAUGGUUUCCAAGCUCAAGGGAGAGGCUAAGGGGAGGCUCCAGACACCCCUUGCCAGUUUCAACCACACAGCUUUGCUUUCCUCUGAUUUGCAUGUUGAAACUUCAGGUAAGAUUUCCUGAAGGGAUCCAUAGCCAAAACAUGUUUGAAGGCCACUGGGCUCGCUAACUUCUAAAAGCACCCCAGUUCUAGCAGACAUCCUAAGGAACAUUCCCAGGAAAAUUCCAGCCUAGAACCUCCUGGGGUCUGACAACCUUAGAGAACAGUGCUGGCUUUGAAUGGGCUUGGGGGCAGCCUCGAAACCCUCUUUCCAGUCUCCAUGCAGGCAGGGGAGCUCCUUAAGCAACACAUAGGACAUUUCUGGGAGAAAUGGGAUCCCCAACACAAUGAACACUAUAGAUUUUAAUGGUCUAUAUGGUUAAAUACACAAGGCCCCUCAUUUCCAACCCCGCCUGUUCAUCUGAUUCAUCUGUACAGUUUGUUAUAAAAGAUUCCCUCCCCAACAUGGUAAAACCCCAUCUCUAGAAAAAUAAAAAAAUAGUUGGGCAUGGUGGUGCACACCUGUAGUCACAGCUACUCAGAAGGUUGAGGUGGGAGGAUCGCUUGAGGCCAGGAAUCUGAGGUUGCAAUGAGCCAUGACCAUGCCACUGCACUCCAGCCUGGGCAACAGCAAGACCCUAUCAAAAAAAAAAAAAAAAAAAAAAUUCCCUCCCUGGAAUUCUCAGGAAUGGAUCCCACUAAAGUUUUUAAACAAGCCCACCCACUGAUUAUGAUGGCCAUCUUGUGGAACCACUACAACAGAUGGUAGCAAUAGAGAAAUUAAGAGGGUCAGCUUCCAUCUCCCCUAGUGAAGACUUUAAUAAAAGAUUUUCCAAAAGCCAGGUGCUGUGGUGCAUGCCUAUAGUCCCAGCUACUCAGAAGGCUGAGGCAGGAGGAUCCAUCCCUUCAGCCCAGGAGUUCAAGACCCACCUGGGGAACAGCAAGACCUGCCCCAUCGCUUAAAAAAAUUUUUUUUCCAGAAAAAAAAGAGACUUCUAGGGACAUUCCAACAACUCUCAUAAACCAUGGUAGCCAAGCAUAUGCCAAGUUCAGCAACCAAAACAACCUUCCUGUUGCAAUCUGAAUCCCACCAUUAGAUGGCAGGCACACAUCAGACAACCUGACUAUACAGCCUGUCCUACUUCGCAGCAGUUGCUUUGGGUUUAAAUCAAGUUUCCUUCUCAGUAAAACUGGAGCAUGACCACAUUCCUUAUAUAUUUCGCAGGACUGUUUUAAGGAUAAAAUGAAAAGUGUAACGAGAGCUGGAAAAGGUGAAUAUGAACAUUACAAUGCAAACUGGAAAUUUCAGAAACAGAAGAGAAAGCACAUGCCAUUAUAAAGAGAAAUCUUGAGAACAUCCACAACUACAAUUAUCUUGGGUGAAAAACUCCUGGGCUUUUCAGCAUAGAAUUCCACCAUCACAUGUGAGCUAUUUAGGCAGAGGCCAUGGUGGCUUUCCCUGGACCAGAACAGUCAGAAUUCAGUGAACACUGCAUUAAACCCUGCACUGUUUUCAUUCUGGGCACCAUGUCAUAGGCACCAUUGGAUCUAGUCCAUAGGCACCAUUGGAUCUAGACCAAACACACCCUAAUAUGAAAAGGCAAUGCUAAGCGUGGAUUUGACUGUAUGAAAAGGGAGUGUGUAUAAGGCACAACUUCAUAUUCUCCUGCCCCUCACCUCCAUUCAUUUAAUUGAGAACAUAUAUCUUGGUUUAGUCCUAACUCACAUUUUUUUACUUGGUAUUUUGUUAUUUUAGUUCAUGAAAAAAUUAUAAGCAUAUGUGUGUGUGUGUGUGUGUGUGUGUAUACACACGCGCACACACACACACACACACACACACAAUCCAAAAUCUAGCAAGUAGCUUUACUUCAUUCUGGGUUUAGGAAGUGAUCUGAUUACAGUCUGCUUUAAAAUAGAAAUCUAAAGGCUGGGCGCAGUGGCUCACGCCUGUAAUCCCAGCACUUUGGGAGGCCGAGGCAGGUGGAUCACGAGGUCAGGAGAUUGAGACCAUCCUGGCUAACAUGGUGAAACCCCGUCUCUACUAAAAAUACAAAAAAAAAAAAUUAGCCAGGAGUCGUGGUGGGCGCUUGUAGUCCCAGCUACUUGGGAGGCUGAGGCAGGAGAAUGGCGUGAGCCUGGGAGACAGAGUUUGCAGUGAGCCGAGAUCGCGCCACUGCACUCCAGCCUGGGCAACAAAGCAAGACUCUGUCUCAAAAAAAAAAAAAAAAAGAAAGAAAUCUAAACAUCCCCCCAGCACCAAAUAACAGAAAUCCAUCUCUGGUUCCAUCCUCUCAAAGCACUUUCCCACAUCCCAAGUCUCCUUCUCCACCCCUUAUUUAAAACCUUUCAGCAGGUCCUAACAAGUUUCUUUUAAUCUGCCCCAAUUAGGGUUUGAUUAAAGCAGCACUAGUCAAACAGGCGUCUCCUCCUAGCUGUGGAGCUGGAGGAUGGCUCAGAGGAUGUUGUGACACAAGGGUGGGGAGACAAAAAUAAAAAAUCAACUCUGGGGCAUUACUGGCCUGUACCACGGUCCCCUCUAACUACAACAAAGGUGCAGAAACACACUGUGAGAACCAACUGGCAUCCCAAGCAAAGCAUCAAAGUCCAGAGGUGGUCGGCUUGGGACAGGUGAGACUGCGAGCAGUGCAGAGGGAAACUGAACCACAGCUAAGCACCGGCUUGCACGACCACUGCCUGUGUGACACCAGGCAAGCCACUCACUGUGACACACAAUGUCUUCACCUGCCAGAAGUUGACAAUGCUUACAUUAGCUCUUGCAGGGGCACCUGCGUGUUGUUUAAAAUAGCCACCUUUUGAGGGCAGAUCCUGUUAAAAACCUGCUAAAUUCACAGAUGGGGUUGCACCUGUCAGAGUGGAGUGAGUGGCUAGAAAGAAAAUGGCUCUGCUCAUCAAUGACAGUCAUUGGGUGCCUGGUAGGCAGUGGUAGAAGAGUUGAAUGAGAAGCUAAGAAAGGUGGCAAGCUGAUAGGGGAUAGGGCACCACAAACAACAGAGAAGCCGUAUUUUUUUCCUUUUUUUUUUUGAGACAGUCUUGCUCUGUUGCAGUGGUGUGCAGCGGUGUGAUCUCAGCUCACUGCAAUUUCUGCCUCCUGCGUUCAAGUGAUUCUCGUGCUUCAGCUUCCCGAGUAGCUAGGAUUACAGGCAUGUGCCACCACACCUAGCUAAUUUUUGUUUAGUAGAGAUGGGGUUUCACCCUCUUGCCCAGGCUGGUCUCAAACUCCUGGCCUCAAGCAGUCCUCCUGCCCUGGCCUCUCAAAGUGCUGGGAUUAUAGGCAUGAGCCACCACACCCUGACAAAAGCCAAUCAUCUAUCUUUGGUGGGUAGCCUAGGUCUUUGAAAAACAGGGAUAGACACACACAUACAUCCAUUCACUGCGUGUGGACAACAUGGAACUGUUUGUGUUGUUAUAAUGUAAACUUUCCUCAUCUUCCACCCAUCUCCCUCAAAAAAGUUUACUUUAAAAGGGUUUGUUUGAGCAAGGAAGGGGCUGGGUCACCAGCCUAAGGAAGGCAAUGGGGCAGAGGCCAGGUAAACUGGAUGGAAUCAGGGGAACAUAGCGCCAGGUUGUCCUAAGAACCAAAGGCUCCCAGAAACCCUGGCCCGGGCUUCCCACUUGACAAGAACUGCAAGUCCACUAACCUGAACCAGUAUCUGAGCCCAGGUGAGGCCUGGGGUCUGCCCCACAUACACCCCAGGAUCAUGAGGCUUCGUGACAGCAGGCCCAGUGACAUCUACACCACACAUGCACAGCAUGGCCCUUCCUGAGCCACUUGGGCCACACAGCCAGGAUUCGGUCGCUGCUCUGGGCCAAGCAUCACACAGAAGGCGAGAGCCUUUUUGUCUGUCUUUAUUUACAGCAAAGUACAUAAUAUGUGGUCACUUUGUAACCACUAACAAUAAAG
Molecule: long non-coding RNA, 10551 nt
Filed under: Homo sapiens (human)
Lineage: Eukaryota; Metazoa; Chordata; Mammalia; Primates; Hominidae
Description: HSALNT0016921
Source: RNAcentral